UGGGGAAUUUUGGACAAUGGGGGAAACCCUGAUCCAGCCAUCCCGCGUGUGCGAUGAAGGCCUUCGGGUUGUAAAGCACUUUUGGCAGGAAAGAAACGUCGCGGGUUAAUACCCCGCGAAACUGACGGUACCUGCAGAAUAAGCACCGGCUAACUACGUGCCAGCAGCCGCGGUAAUACGUAGGGUGCAAGCGUUAAUCGGAAUUACUGGGCGUAAAGCGUGCGCAGGCGGUUCGGAAAGAAAGAUGUGAAAUCCCAGAGCUUAACUUUGGGAACUGCAUUUUUAACUACCGGGCUAGAGUGUGUCAGAGGGAGGUGGAAUUCCGCGUGUAGCAGUGAAAUGCGUAGAUAUGCGGAGGAACACCGAUGGCGAAGGCAGCCUCCUGGGAUAACACUGACGCUCAUGCACGAAAGCGUGGGGAGCAAAGCAGGAUUAGAUACCCUGGUAGUCCACGCCCUAAACGAUGUCAACUAGCUGUUGGGGCCUUCGGGCCUUGGUAGCGCAGCUAACGCGU
This 514-nucleotide ribosomal RNA is filed under the name uncultured bacterium. RNAcentral describes it as "partial 16S ribosomal RNA". It matches the Rfam family "Bacterial small subunit ribosomal RNA", at positions 355 to 860 of the family's 1533-position model. The record is from RNAcentral.